AUAAUCAUAUUAUAAACAUUGAUUCAACAAAUGAAGGGUAUCUUUAAUCGAUAUAAGAUAAGUACCGGACAUAAUUACAUAAUUGUAUAUAUGAAAAAUAUUUAAGGCAUUGAAUAAUAUUUUUUGCUUUCACCACCACAAGUUGAAUCUGGUUUGUGGAGAUAUUGAAUAAAUUUUACUUUGCACAAUGUUUGAUGUUUAAAUUUAUGUAAUUUGUGUGAAGGAUAAAAAGUUGUUCAUUAGUUUAGUGAGGAACAAUAAUUUUAAUAUUUGUCCACUCUCUUGUAUCCACUUUGUCAAAUUUUAAAAACAGUUUUAAAAUUAAAUAUAGUACGACUAAAAUUAUCAUGUUCAUUUCCUUAGGAGAUCAAACGCAAUGUUCAUUUCCUUACUCUUGUUGCUUAUGUGUGUUAUUUUUUUUGGAUUCAUUUUUAUUUUAGAUUCUCUAAGAUUAAUUUUGAUAAAAUCAAUUCUUUAGAAACUUAUAAAAAAGCACAAAUCAAAAGGUUUUCAUGUUGAUAAAAGUAUAAAAAAUUAAAAUCACUCAAGUUGAAAACUAUGAAUAUUAAAAUAGUUUAUCAUUAAAAGAAUUGAAAAAAACCAUAGAAUCAAUAAAAAAUAACAUUCUCUCAACUUCUAUUAAAAAUAAUUUUCUUUAAAAACUAAUCAAAAUAGCUAUUUCGUUAUCAACAUGAAAAUUAGUUCUUAAGAAAACAAUUUUUGAGAAUAAUCUAUACUUAAACAUCACCAAAUAAAAAAUCCAGAACAAUAUAGACUGGCGGAGUCUAGGGUGGGAAAGGGCCCUAGGUCUCCCAUGGUGGGAAAGUAAUAUUAUCCGUUCGAUUGUGAGGUUCUAUGGAUGUUACGACACACCACCAACAUCUUAUACAUUUUCUAUCUCUCUCUUUCUCUGUGCCUCCUAUGCCCAUCACCACCACCUUGUUUCAAACCGAAAACCCAGAAAACUGUGAAGAAGAAGAAGAAGAAGAAGAAGAAGAAGAAGAAGAAGAAGAACAAUAAUUAUCCUGUAAUGAGUUUGAGUUUAUUGAAGUUAUUGGUACUUAAGUGUUAAUUAAACAAACCUCUUCUACCAUGUUGCUUAACGAAAUUGAUAAUAAUACCUUUCUUCCCUUCUUCGAUCAAAUCAUAUCAGCAACAAACAACAAUUGCAAUUUCAUGAUUUUAAUCUCGCCCCACUUCAGUUUCCUUUUUCUUCCUCAAUUUUAAUUUCACUCGGCCAUUUAUUUUUUACCUCUUUUCUUUCUUCCUUAUUUUGAUUUUUUUAUUUAUUUGCUUUCAAACUCAAAUUCAAAUGCUUCUUUAUGUUCAUGUGUCCCAGAAAAUGCUCCUGUUUCAACACAAUUUUUUUCAACACAGUGCACAAGCUUGCUAUGGGAAACCAAAUUUGUGAGAGUCUGAGAGAUUGAUACCAUUGUGGAUUUGUUUAGCCCUUUGUUUGGUGCCGAGGUGUGUUGCAUCUAUAUGGGUUCUUCAAGAUUUAGUUUUUGCUUUUUUGUGAGAUGGGUGCAUCCCAUUUUUUGUUUGACCGAUAGAUAGGUGAUUACACAGUGCAGAAAGUCUAUGAUAAUCUAUUGUAAUCUAACAGAUAAUAUUACUUUCCCACCCAUUGCAUUAAAAUCACCAAAACUAACCACUGACUUCAUUUUCCGUUCCCUUCUUUCGAUAUACUUCAAAUACAUUAAUUAGCAUUUUGUUUGAAUAUUAUUAGUAUUAAUGCUACUCAGGGGCGUCUCCGAGUUUUAGGAGGCUCUGUGCAAAAUAUAAAAGUGACCCCUUAAUAAAAAAAAAUUAAAAAAAUUAUCAAUUUAAAUUGCAUAUAAUAUAAAAAAAAAUUCUUGUAAACAUAAAUUAUGAAUAUUAAAUCUUACAUUAAAUUAAAUGGAACAAGAAAUACAAAAUAACUAUCUUUGAAUAUAACGUCAAAAAGGAACAUCAU
This 1957-nucleotide long non-coding RNA is filed under the name Trifolium pratense (red clover). RNAcentral's name for it is "long non-coding RNA (TPRA_LNC014347)". The record is from RNAcentral. Lineage: Eukaryota; Viridiplantae; Streptophyta; Magnoliopsida; Fabales; Fabaceae.